This 765-nucleotide ribosomal RNA is filed under the name uncultured bacterium. RNAcentral describes it as "bacterial SSU rRNA". It matches the Rfam family "Bacterial small subunit ribosomal RNA", at positions 116 to 882 of the family's 1533-position model. The record is from RNAcentral.
CGUGGAUUAUCUACCUACUGGUACGGGACAACAGUUGGAAACGACUGCUAAUACCGUAUACGCUGGUAACGGGAAAGGGGGCCUCUUCUUGAAAGCUCUCGCCAGUAGAUGAGUCCGCGUUUCAUUAGCUAGACGGUGGGGUAACGGCCUACCGUGGCAACGAUGAAUAGCAGGCCUGAGAGGGUGGCCUGCACACUGGGACUGGAACACGGCCCAGACUCCUACGGGAGGCAGCAGUGGGGAAUAUUGCGCAAUGGACGAAAGUCUGACGCAGCGACGCCGCGUGGAGGAUGAAGGUUUUCGGAUCGUAAACUCCUGUCAAGAGGGAAGAAACCUAUCGGAACUAAUACUUUCGGUAAUUGACGGUACCUCUAGAGGAAGCACCGGCUAAUUCAGUGCCAGCAGCCGCGGUAAUACCGAAGUGCAAGCGUUAAUCGGAAUCACUGGGCGUAAAGCGCUCGUAGGUGGCUUUGUAAGUCAGGUGUGAAAGCCCACGCUCAACCGUGAAUUGCACUUGAUACUGCAUCGCUAGAGUAUAGGAGAGGGAAGUGGAAUUUCUGGUGUAGGAGUGAAAUCCGUAGAGAUCAGAAGGAACACCCGUGGCGAAGGGACUUCCUGGACUAUUACUGACACUGAGGAGCGAAAGUGGGGAGCAAACAGGAUUAGAUACCCUGGUAGUCCACGCCGUAAACGAUGGGUACUAGGUGUCGGGGGCUUGACCUUCGGUGCCGUAGUUAACGCGUUAAGUACCCCGCCUGGGGAGUA